UGGGCACGACGUCGCAUGCUUCCGGGCGCAAUGGCGGCCGCGGGAAUUCGAUUCGUAUUACCGCGGCUGCUGGCACAGAGUUAGCCGGUGCUUAUUCUGUCGGUAACGUCAAAACAGCAAAGUAUUAAUUUACUGCCCUUCCUCCCAACUUAAAGUGCUUUACAAUCCGAAGACCUUCUUCACACACGCGGCAUGGCUGGAUCAGGCUUUCGCCCAUUGUCCAAUAUUCCCCACUGCUGCCUCCCGUAGGAGUCUGGACCGUGUCUCAGUUCCAGUGUGACUGAUCAUCCUCUCAGACCAGUUACGGAUCGUCGCCUUGGUGAGCCAUUACCCCACCAACUAGCUAAUCCGACCUAGGCUCAUCUGAUAGCGCAAGGCCCGAAGGUCCCCUGCUUUCUCCCGUAGGACGUAUGCGGUAUUAGCGUCCGUUUCCGAACGUUAUCCCCCACUACCAGGCAGAUUCCUAGGCAUUACUCACCCGUCCGCCGCUCUCAAGAGAAGCAAGCUUCUCUCUACCGCUCGACUUGCAUGUGUUAGGCCUGCCGCCAGCGUUCAAUCUGAGCCAUGAUCAAACUCUAAUCACUAGUGAAUUCGCGGCCGCCUGCAGGUCGACCAUAUGGGAGAGCUCCCAACGCGUUGGAUGC
This 644-nucleotide ribosomal RNA is filed under the name uncultured Gammaproteobacteria bacterium. Its description in RNAcentral is "partial 16S ribosomal RNA". The record is from RNAcentral. Lineage: Bacteria; Pseudomonadati; Pseudomonadota; Gammaproteobacteria.